This 497-nucleotide ribosomal RNA is filed under the name uncultured bacterium. RNAcentral's name for it is "partial 16S ribosomal RNA". It matches the Rfam family "Bacterial small subunit ribosomal RNA", at positions 28 to 507 of the family's 1533-position model. The record is from RNAcentral.
GAUGAACGCUGGCGGCGUGCCUAACACAUGCAAGUCGAGCGAACAGACGAGGAUCUUGCUCCUCUGACGUUAGCGGCGGACGGGUGAGUAACACGUGGAUAACCUACCUAUAAGAAUGGCAUAACUUCGGGAACCCGGAGCUAAUACCGGAUAAUAUAUUGAACCCCAUGGUUCAAUAGUCAAAGACCUUCUUGCUGUCCCUUAUUGAUGGAUCCUCGCCGCAUUAGCUAGUUGGUAAGGUAACGGCUUACCAAGGCGACGAUGCGUAGCCGACCUGAGAGGGUGAUCGGCCACACUGGAACUGAGACACGGUCCAGACUCCUACGGGAGGCAGCAGUAGGGAAUCUUCCGCAAUGGGCGAAAGCCUGACCGAGCAACGCCGCGUGAGUGAUGAAGGUCUUCGGAUUGUAAAACUCUUUUAUUAGGGAAGAACAAAUGUGUAAGUAAAUAUGCACGUCUUGACGGUACCUAAUCAAAAAGCCCCGGCUAACUACGUG